CGGGGUGCAGCAGGCGCGAAAACUCCACAAUGCGCGAAAGCGUGAUGGGGUUAACCCGAGUGCCGUCCGAUGAGGAUGGCUUUUCUUCAGUUUAAGGAUCUGGAGGAAUAAAGGGGGGGCAAGACUGGUGUCAGCCGCCGCGGUAAUACCAGCCCCCUGAGUGGUAGGGACGAUUAUUUGGCCUAAAGCGUCCGUAGCCUGUUUGGGAAGUCUUUCGUUAAAUCCGACGAUUCCAUCGUUGGGACGCGGAAGAUACUGCCAGACUUGAGGACGGGAGAGGCCGACGGUAGUCCUAGGGUAGGGGUGAAAUCCUAUAAUCCUAGGAGGACCACCAGUGGCGAAGGCGGUCGACUAGAACGUGCCUGACGGUGAUGGACGAAAGCUGGGGGAGCGAACCGGAUUAGACACCCGGGUAGUCCCAGCUGUAAACGAUGCGAGCUAGGUGUUGGAGCAACUACGAGUUGCUCCAGUGCCGCAGAGAAGUUGUUAAGCUCGCCGCCUGGGAAGUACGGCCGCAAGGCUGAAACUUAAAGGAAUUGGCGGGGGAGCAC
This 551-nucleotide ribosomal RNA is filed under the name uncultured archaeon. Its description in RNAcentral is "bacterial SSU rRNA". It matches the Rfam family "Archaeal small subunit ribosomal RNA", at positions 326 to 879 of the family's 1478-position model. The record is from RNAcentral.